CCUGUCUGGAGCUCUACCGUCCGGGGUUAGGGUCCGAUCGGUCGCCUUGUUCUUCUUCUCCAUUGCCUCUUCUGCUCCGCUGAUAUCCUGAAAAUAUGUGCUAGAGUCUCAACAGCGCGUCUGACCUACAUGGACACUCAAUAACAACACCAUACUCUUCAUCACCACUGCUGCCGAUCAGGAUUUCCCGGCCUUGGGAUGGACGGCUGAUGUAUCAUCUAGGUGUCGAUCUAUCAUCCUCUUGUGAAAAUACCAGAUACUCCUGAGCCAGAUGGAUGACCUUCAUGAGCUCGCGGCCCCAAGUCACGGGAGCUUUCCCCUGGAUCGCAUAGGACGCAAACAGUGCCGUGGUCAUGGCGCCUAGGAAUCCUGACGCCAAGAGUGACACCACAAGUCACUACACCGAAUUUGUCUACACGGACAUGUCAAACUCACCAAUUAAGGAAGAAGUAUAUACUUGUUAUUGGUGAAAUGCAAUUAGAGAUGCUUAACAGUUUAUCAGCAGAAGAAUAAUCAACCUGCAGUUUGAUAAGAUUUGUGUGGGCAGGUUAGCGACUGCCGACAUUGUCACCUGUGGGGUGGUUGUGGGUCAUCCUGCCGAUCUCAAUGCUGACCUCCACCAGGCUGUCUAUUCUCUCAGGUUGCCAGUAUCUCAUACCCACACACAUGGCCUUGGCAGCUGCCCCGAAACCAGACCCUGGACACAGACACAUGUGCACACAUCCAGACACACAUUUUCAUAUGCUUAAAUGUUGGAAAAAAAAAAAAAACAAUAUAUAAAAUCUCCAAUGACCCUUUUCAUUGAAGGGUGUAUGCCAGGCGAGCAGGAAGUUGUGAGGUUUGAGGUGAACGCAGCCCUCCACUGUGGCAGGAUCAGGGGCUCUGCCCUGGAGAGACACCAUGGCUUCAACAUAGAGACGCACCAGCUCCCGGUACAGAUCCUCCAGACACCAGUAAUCUGGACACACACACACAGUGACUGAGAGUCAUUCAUGAUUGGCAUGCAAGUCGAGAUGAGUGGUGCUGCGGUGGGCUAAGUUUAGCCUCAGCCUGCCACGCCACAGAUUAGGACCAGCAUGCCAUCGAGGCGAGUGGAGUCACUUCCACACAGCAUGAGGUCAACUGGGAUCCACGAGCAGACCCCACAGCCGUCCUGCUAGAAUUUAGUUUACGUGUGUACUGUAUGUGUCUGCGUACAGUAUGUGACAGAGAGAGACAAACUUCUUCUUUCUUUGUUCUCUGCCUCAGAUAAGAAUGUGUAGCCCUAUAUCUGUUGUUAAUAUUUACCCUGUUAUUCUGUACGCUGGUAAGAAGAUUGGCAAAGCAAACACUGACAUUCACAACUUCCAUUCCACUCCAUGAGUUGUGUGUGCGAGUAUGUGUACAGGCAUGCUGGAUUGCGUCUAAAUAGGGCUUCCUAAUCUCAAUAGAUGUCACCACCAUUGCACAGUGCCGCUGUCAUUGGCUUUGAGCCGCAUCUGCAGCCAAACAUGAUACCGGUAGAUUAUGGAGGAGUCUGACCUGCUAUUGUUCAGUAAAGGAGAGCUGAGGAUCAGCUUUUUUCAAAGUAGUCUAUUUUGGACUUUUCUGUCCCGGCAACUCCUGGCCGCUCUGCGGGGGAGCUUGAGAUGACAUUUGAGUAAUCUGUAGUUAGGCUUCUACUGACAUUUUAUCUUUGAUGAUCAUGUGGCAAUGAUUGAUUACGAUAUGGCCGCACGUUGUCAUUCAAAGACGGCCUGCCAGUUAGUGAUUAGCAGCUUCCUUUGACUGUAUGAAACUAUUCUGGUCCUCUUAAAUGUAGACUGUGUCUAUAUUUUAUUGAACAGAUAAAAAAUGAAAGAUUUUGUGUGAAGUUAGACAGCAGGCAAUGAGUGUCUACUCUUGCUAUGAUUUCCACUCUCUAAUCUUCCUCUUUGACAAUGAUCAAUCCUAAACGUACCUGUUACCAGUGCUUCUGCUGUGGUGAUGUGCAUCAGCGUUGCAUCACUCAGGGGCCAGUUAUCAGGGUCCAGUUUCUGGGCCCCAAGUCCCCCCAGAGAGGCCAGUUCCUCUUGGAUCUUCUUGCCUGAGAUGCAGCCCUCCCAACGGCCCUUUCGGUAGCCCAAGGAAUCGCCAACGGCACCCAGAACCAUUCCUGCCUUGAAUUUCUCCAUACUGUGCUCCGCUCACCCAGCUGAAAAAGUUCUUCUCCUGGGAUUUAGAUUGGCUCCUUUCAGCUGUACUUUUUCUUCACCACCUUCAGCAGACUCAGUGUCAUAGAACAAUGCAAACUGAACAAACUCUCUUGCCCCAAAACAUCCUGAAGAACUUCAAACAGCCUCACCAACUCUCCCAAAAAGAUUUCCGCUUGACGUGGAGCUAUUAUAGACCUCUGUCUCCACUACAUAACAAGCUCUGCCACCUUCCCACCCUCAGAGCUCUCGUCUAGUUUCUCAUCAGUUGUCUCACACACAAACACGCACUCUCCUUUCCAGGGGCGGGUGCACGCACGCACACGCACACUCACGCACACAGACGAAAGCAUUGCGUUAUCAGCCACAGCUUCUUUGUGUUGGGCAGCGGGGAGUUUCAGCUGUGAUCAGGUGUCUCCUAAAAAGGCAAUCCCCAUGGCCCCAAAGCCUCAAAGCUGGAUGGCUGGGUGUGGAGUGGUAAUGGGAAGAGAUGCUAAUGUACUGCUGGGCUGGAGCGUCAGCUGGUGCUGGACCUUGUUGACAUCCCAACCGGCCCCCAUGGGAGGAGGGUAAGAAUGGAGCAUCAUCUCCGCUCCACUUGCUUGCCUCCUCCUUUAUUGAAGCUCUCCAGUCUUUACAUCACUAUUUGAAAUGUCUUUGUUAGUCACCUCCUUCCCUGACAUCAGAUAAUCUCCUCUCCAGUUAUGCACACUGCAUCCAAGAGUUCCCCUCCCUCUCAGUUUCUUUAAUCUUCAUCUAAUGUCUCGAUUGUAACCCUUUUGACACAAUCAGUUGUCACCAACCCUUCAUUUAUUAAGUGUAUCUGUUGGUGAAUGUCACCCUGAACAUACCCAGAGUAACAGUAGACAAAGCUUUACCAGAGGAGCCCAUGAUGAUGAGGAUAUGCAGCAGGAAUGCAACCUGAUAAGGGACAACUGUCACCAAGGUGACAUUUUACAUACACUCGCUAACACACACACAGUAGGGCAGUGGUUCUCAGCAGGAAUAUGGGAAUUGUUUUUGUUUCAUUCCUUAAUGCCAUUACAUUGUUCCAUCUCUCUUCUGGGCUUCUAUUGGAAAUAAAGAACUUCUGCAGAGUAUCAUAAAUGGCUGACUGAACUCCACGUGAUCAUGUGGUCGCCCCUUAUAACAUAUAAACAUUUUAGAUCUACAGAAUACUGCUAUCCAAUACACAUUUUCUAAAUAAAAACUAACAAAAUAAG
Molecule: long non-coding RNA, 3394 nt
Organism: Anarrhichthys ocellatus (wolf-eel)
Lineage: Eukaryota; Metazoa; Chordata; Actinopteri; Perciformes; Anarhichadidae
Exons: 3
Source: RefSeq, a predicted model, not a curated record